Mytilus californianus (California mussel) is the source of this 2137-nucleotide long non-coding RNA. RefSeq lists it as uncharacterized. The transcript has 3 exons. NCBI's taxonomy places the organism in Eukaryota, Metazoa, Mollusca, Bivalvia, Mytilida, Mytilidae. The record is from RefSeq and is a predicted model, not a curated record.
GCCAAUGCGAUUAUCGUAACGUAAUGAUUUCCUUGCGACGGCAAAAAUAUCGGAUUUUACCCAAGUUCAAUUGCUUUGAAAAAGGUGAAAAAUAUAUUGUAUGAGCAAACAAUUGAUAUGUAAUUAAAGUUCAGACAUUUAUCUUUCUAAAUAUAUAAGUUUUAUGGGUAUUGCAGUGAUUUGGUUCGAUAAAAAAAAUGUUUGAAGUGGAGUUGUUUUGAAAAAAAUGGCCGCCGGAAAAACUAUGUGUCAAAGGUACUACUGAUUUUGAAAUUCAUUCCGCAAGCUAUUACUCGUCAGAUUUUCUUCAUUGAUGGCUUAAAAUUUUGGAAAUAUAUUCAAGUUUUAUGAUCCGGUUGUCAGUCAUACUUAACGGUCGAUUUUCAGUAUAGAUAUGAAAAAUCUUUGAAAUAGAUGUGAAAAAAAAAUCGUUUACGACUUUGUAAACACCACUGACACUCGGAUUCAUAAAUUCCAGAACUCUCUCCUUCCACACGUAUCCAUGGUUUCACAUGGAAAACAAUAGCGGCUUGCGGAAUUGAUUGGAUAUUUGUAUGAGCAGGGCGUGGUUUUCACGCAAAAAAUCUGCGAAAAGAGUUAUCUGUUCUUGACUUCCGGAAGUGACGUAUCCGCCAUUGUGUCUAACAUGAAACAUGAAACUUGUAACAAAAUGACUUUUACCGACUAUUUUUUGGACGGACUGCUUACUGAGAGGACAGACAACGUUGGAAAUAGGCCACGGAGGCCAAUCACGUAAGGAAUGAUACUGUCUGUCCAUCCAUCUGCCUGAAAGGAUCUUCUCCCAGUUAGACAGUCUCAUCAGAGUCAUGUGGAGAGUCACUAUACCAACGCCCUGGAGGGAAAUACCAAUAUUGGACUCAAAACCCAUACAGUGAAUUGGUUAGAAAGAAUGGAUGAAGCACAUCCUGAACAUAUAUGGUAAAUUCUGGUGAAGAAACAGCUCGGACCUGAAAAUAUAUACUUUAGAACAUUCAAUAAACUUAGUCAAAUGAUGAAUAGUUAAUGUAUCAUUAUUAUAAUGAAUACCAAAACAGUUCAGAUAGUCACUAUUGCAAAUCCCAAUGGAUUAUUAGACUUAAAGACUGCAUUGAUCUUGGUCUUUAUAUAUAAUAAGUUCUCGACAUAUCCAUUUUUUAUAGGAAUAACAGGUUUUUCGCAAAAUAUUUACCAAUUUUUUUGAAUAAUGAGAAUAUUUUAGUGUAAAUAAUACAUUUUCCAAGAGAAAACAUCAUUAUAGCAAUGUCUGACUAAACAAUGACUUAACUCUUAGAGUUUAAAUGGAUUAUUUUUAUUUUCUCGGUCAAAAUUUGGGAUUUUUCAAAAUUACAGUUUUUUUUCAUGCAGGUAUAGGGCUAACCAAAUUCCAUCUAGAAUAAAUAUCAAUCAGUCAAAUACAAUGAAAUUAGGUUCAUCUGAAAGCUAAGAUUGUAAGCUUUAGUAUGAUACCAAACAUGUGUAAAAAUCUUCAAUUUUCCGUUAAAUUUUUGCAUAACUGCGCAAAUAUUUGAAAAAAUCCGUGAUUUUCAAAAUUGUCAAAACAUUUCUUAUUUUUGACCAUUUUUUAAAUUUGUAUUGCAUUAAAUUCUAUUUAUAUAUGACAAAAAGGUGCUUUUACAUGUAAAGUCACAGUAACAGUCACUAACUUCUGUGAAAAAUUACUGUCAAAUUAUGAAAUUAAGUUUUUGUGUAAAUUUUAGUGUGUUUUUGGCGAAAAAUAGCUCAAAAAUUUACGUCAAAAUGCUGAUUUUCUAAUUCAAUUUUUUUUUAUUAGCUUACAGAGCUUAUUUUAUUUGUGAAACAACUUAAUACCAAUACAAAACAAGUAGUAGAAAAAAUUAGGGAUUUUUUUCCAGCAUUGUCUGACCAAAAAUGUAUUUUUUUCCCAAAAAAAACUACCUAAAAAAAGGGGGGCCUGCCGGCAUGAUUUUGAGUCGGCUAAAAAAAAAUUCAGAUAUGUUGGCAAUACAACUGUUAAAAUAUUUCUGUUGACUGUUUAGGUCUUUACAUAACUGCAAACAACCAGACCUCUGCCUGCUUUCCAUUUCAAGAUAUCAAUGUCUUAACAUAGCAGUUUAUUCAAAGAUGCCCUUGACACAUAGCAAAAAAAAACUAAGUC